Molecule: ribosomal RNA, 514 nt
Filed under: uncultured bacterium
Lineage: Bacteria
Description: partial 16S ribosomal RNA
Rfam family: Bacterial small subunit ribosomal RNA
Source: RNAcentral
GAUGAACGCUGGCGGCAUGCCUAAUACAUGCAAGUCGAACGAAAAGAGAGUAUGCUUGCAUACGAUCAAUUAGUGGCGAACGGGUGAGUAACACGUAAGUAACCUGGCUUACAGAUUGGGACAACAGUUGGAAACGACUGCUAAUACCAAAUAAGAUUAGUUCUUGCAUGAGAACAAAUUGAAAGUAGCUUCACAGCUAUACUGUAAGAUGGACUUGCGUCGCAUUAGCUAGUUGGUAAGAUAAAAGCUUACCAAGGCGACGAUGCGUAGCCGACCUGAGAGGGUGAACGGCCACAUUGGGACUGAGACACGGCCCAAACUUCUACGGAAGGCAGCAGUAGGGAAUUUUCCACAAUGGGCGAAAGCCUGAUGGAGCAAUGCCGCGUGAGAGAAGAAGGCCUUAGGGUUGUAAAUCUCUGUUGUAAGGGAAGAAAGCCAUGUAGAGGAAAUGCUAUGUGAGUGACGGUACCUUACCAGAAAGCCACGGCUAACUACGUGCCAGCAGCCGCCGUAA